GACGAACGCUGGCGGCGUGCCUAACACAUGCAAGUCGAACGGGGUCCAUGGGAGCUUGCUUCCGGAAGACCUAGUGGCGAACGGGUGAGUAACACGUGAGGAACUUGCCCCAGACUCGGGGAUAACUCAGGGAAACUUGAGCUAAUACCGGAUACCCUCCUUGGACCGCAUGGUCCGCUGAGGAAAGUUUUUCGGUCUGGGAGAGCCUCGCGGCCUAUCAGCUAGUCGGUGAGGUAACGGCUUACCAAGGCGACGACGGGUAGCUGGUUUGAGAGAACGAUCAGCCACACUGGGACUGAGACACGGCCCAGACUCCUACGGGAGGCAGCAGUGGGGAAUCUUGCGCAAUGGGCGAAAGCCUGACGCAGCAACGCCGCGUGCGGGAUGAAGGCCUUCGGGUUGUAAACCGCUUUCAGCAGGGACGAAGAUGACGGUACCUGCAGAAGAAGCCCCGGCUAACUACGUGCCAGCCGCCGCCGUAA
RNAcentral lists this ribosomal RNA (482 nucleotides) under uncultured bacterium. Its description in RNAcentral is "partial 16S ribosomal RNA". It matches the Rfam family "Bacterial small subunit ribosomal RNA", at positions 28 to 523 of the family's 1533-position model. The record is from RNAcentral.